This is a long non-coding RNA of Acromyrmex echinatior (Panamanian leafcutter ant), 261 nucleotides long. The record is from RefSeq and is a predicted model, not a curated record. Lineage: Eukaryota; Metazoa; Arthropoda; Insecta; Hymenoptera; Formicidae.
UAAUUAUAUCGCACAAGAUAUUACAGAUCACAAUGAAUACGUAUUUGCUACAGUAUAUGAUGUUGAAUGGUAUGUCGCUCCAUUACACAUACAAAAAAUGAUGUUAUUUCUAUUGCAAAAAGGUACAAAAGCUUUUCGUUUGGUUCUCGGCGGAAUAUUCAUUGCGUCUAUGGAAAGUGCUGCUACGUUGAUGGGUACUUCAGUAUCUUACUUCACUGUUCUCUAUUCUACAAGUACAAAAUAAUAAUUGCAAAAUAAUUA